This 468-nucleotide ribosomal RNA is filed under the name uncultured bacterium. RNAcentral describes it as "partial 16S ribosomal RNA". It matches the Rfam family "Bacterial small subunit ribosomal RNA", at positions 28 to 507 of the family's 1533-position model. The record is from RNAcentral.
GACGAACGCUGGCGGCGUGCUUAACACAUGCCAGUCGAACGGAAAGGCCCUGCUUUUGUGGGGUGCUCGAGUGGCGAACGGGUGAGUAACACGUGAGUAACCUGCCCUUGACUUUGGGAUAACUUCAGGAAACUUGGCGUAAUACCGGAUAGGAGCACCUGCUGCAUGGUGGGGGUUGGAAAGUUUCGGCGUUUGGGGCUGGACUCGCGGCUAAUCAGCUAGUUGGUGGGGUAGUGGCUUACCAAGGCAUUGCCGGGUAGCCGGCCUGAGAGGGUGACCGGCCACAUUGGGACAGAGAUGCGGCCCAGACUCCUACGGGAGGCAGCAGUGGGGAAUAGUGCGCACUGGGCGGAAGCCGGGUGCAGCAACGCCGUGUGGGGUAUAACGGCCUUCGGGUGGUAAAGCGCUUUCGCCUGUGACGAAGAGUGAGUGGCGGUAAUGUGUAAAGAAGCACCGGCUAACUACGUG